CCUCCCAACCAUCUGGAAUUACAGAUACCCACUAGUGGAAUUGCUGCAUCAAUUGGAAAUUCUUGAUAAAAAUUACAGCCUGAUCUCAGUUGUGCAACAGGAAUUUUGAAGAGCAGCCACCCUCCCUGAAGCCAUCUAGGGAACACCAGCAGAAUCACACUGGAGGACUGGUGUCCACAGAAGGCCACAAGCUUGUGAAGGUCAACUCAGCUGUGGCAGCUGAGCAACUGUCGGGCAAGUCUGCUGGAAUCUGAAAACCCAGAGACAUUUGUCCUGGGGGAUAUAUGGUAUGGUUCCCUUGGGUUCUCAGAAAUGACUGAGAUGACAUUUUGAGAGAAGCUAAGUUUUGGAAAUUAGGCCAGAGACUUAUGCCAAAAUUGUGGAUAAAGAGGAAGUUCCUGUUUGGGUUGUAGUGACAGGCUGUUGAGACUGGUGAAGUAAGCAUCACACUCAAUUUACCCCACACUAUGAGGAGCAAAAGAGUUCUUAAAAAGACAGAGAGGCAUAGCCUCAUCAUCAGAGCUCUUUAGGGAAACUGGGGAUUACCUCUAUAUGUCAGAUUUUCAAAUUAGCGUUGCACACCAGAGACCUCUUCAGGUGAGGUGAACUUGUAAAAAUACCUGAGAAUGGUUGUGAAACUGUAGUGUGCUGCUGCUGUGACUUCUGUUUUAUUUUUUUCAUUUCAUUUACUUUUCUAUAUACGAGUGUGUGUGUUUGUGCACACACACAGAGUAUAUAUAAGACAUAGAUACUUAUAGUACAUAGAAAUGUAUUUGUAUAAAUACAUGUAUGAUGUUGAAAGUUUGAGAUUCUUUGUUUUUUGAUAAAAACUAGUUAAAAUUGUUAUUAAGAUCUGAAAAUUAAUUCAGUCAGUUUUAAGAGACAUAGAAAUUCAGAGCAGCAAUCCCUGUUUGGUAAAUGCUUCUGUGGGGGACAACAUUCUCCACUAAGGUAAUUUUGAGCCACAAUCUUAAAUCAAACCACGAAAGAUAGAAAUUAUUUCCUUGGAAUAAGCUGUGAACAGUAUUACCUAAGGCUUUGGAUAAUUUCAAAUGAAAUGCUGAAUUUAGUAUAUUGAAUGACACAGCAUCUUUAUUUUAAAAUGGAACAAGUCAAUAAGGUAUUUACAGGAACACACAGCUUGAAUAAUAAAAUGUGUGUGAAUAGAUCUUAAUAAUUCAUUCCAUGUGCUGAUGCAAUUUGAUACAAACUCAAGCGUUUUAAUAAGAACUGUAAGCUGUUUUUUGAAAUUAUGUAUUGGAUUAGAGAGAGAGAGAGAACAGACCAAUUAAGCAACGAAAAAGAAGCGGGGAAUUGCUAAUGCUGAAUGAGUAGGAGCCAUCUGGAACUAUAAAGCGUCCCCAACAACCUACAGCUUCCCACACAGAUCGUAACCUCCUCCUCCGAUACCCGCCCCCACUACUUUGUGUAGGAGUUUAUCUUUUCCAGCUAUCACUAUGGGUAGGGUAAAAACUACUUUUAUAAAAAUUACCUUCAUGGUUACUGAAAGCUGAAGAGGAAUACUUCACUAACCAUGGGUCAUGACUCAUAGCGUAAAUACUUAUCUAGUAAGCAUUUAUAAUAUUUCUUUGGUGCUAAUUUUCUCAUUGAAUAAAGUUUGCUUUCAUUUUGUUUCAUCCACAUCAUAGCGGCACUUUCUGGCUGAGCUGCUUAACCCUCUGAAUUCAACUAUUUGCAGAGGCAUAAAGAAUUUUGAUGACUAUUUCAUUAUGCUUCCUCUAAAAAUAUGUUUUAAAGUCUCUAAAGAUUGUUGACUGUGUGCAAAACACUCUAAAGCUUGUUUCAAAGUAACAUAAAGCAUUUAGAUGAGAAAAGGGAAUAUACACAAUCCACUUCAGCUACACAUAAACUGGUUCAUGUGUUAAGGACAGUUCUAGAACUUUGGAAACUUGGAUAAGGACGCUCCUUCUGAGUAUAGUUCUCAUAGCACAAUCCCAAAGACACUGGAACCAACUUCAACUCCCACUGAGCUUAGAACCUACCCUUUACAUUACCCUAGAAAAACAAACACACUCUUUUAUGUAACCCCUCUCCCCAUUCUCCCCCUUCUUUUACAAAUUAUAUGCUAAAAUGCUCCCAACGUACUUAUAAAUAGAUCCAAUAAGACAUCAAUUUCUACACCUUCCAAGAGGGAGGGGAAACAAUCACAGGAAAUGAGGUGAAAACAAAUACUAUUGGCCGGGCGCAGUGGCUCACGCCUGUAAUCCCAGCACUUUGGGAGGCCGAGGCGGACAGAUCACGAGGUCAGGAGAUCGAGACCAUCCUGGCUAACACGGUGAAACCCCAUCUCUACUAAAAAUACAAAAAAAAUUAGCCAGGCGUGGUUGCAGGCGCCUGUAGUCCCGGCUACUCGGGAGGCUGAGGCAGGAGAAUGACAUGAACCCGGGAGGCGGAGCUUGUAGUGAGCCGAUAUUGUGCCACUGCACUUCAGCCGGGGCGACAGAGCGAGACGAGACUCUGCCUCAAAAGAAAACAAAAUAAAAACAAAAACAAACAAACAAAAAACAAACCAAAUGUUAUUAACCAAAUUACUAAAAUAAAGGAAACUUGAACACUAAAGAAUAAAUAAUUUUCACAAGAACAUUCUAAAGCAAAUUGUAGUAUCACUUUAUUUUCAUUAUUGUAGUAACAUUUCUUCAAUGACUUGGUAUCAAUAAAUUGUAUACAAA
RNAcentral lists this long non-coding RNA (2690 nucleotides) under Homo sapiens (human). Its description in RNAcentral is "HSALNT0321801". The record is from RNAcentral. Lineage: Eukaryota; Metazoa; Chordata; Mammalia; Primates; Hominidae.